This 1224-nucleotide ribosomal RNA is filed under the name uncultured Porphyromonas sp. RNAcentral's name for it is "bacterial SSU rRNA". It matches the Rfam family "Bacterial small subunit ribosomal RNA", at positions 8 to 1214 of the family's 1533-position model. The record is from RNAcentral. Lineage: Bacteria; Pseudomonadati; Bacteroidota; Bacteroidia; Bacteroidales; Porphyromonadaceae.
GAGAGUUUGAUCAUGGCUCAGGACGAACGCUGGCGGCGUGCCUAAUACAUGCAAGUAGAACGCUGAAGGGAGAGCUUGCUCUUCUGGAUGAGUUGCGAACGGGUGAGUAACGCGUAGGUAACCUGCCUGGUAGCGGAGGAUAACUAUUGGAAACGAUAGCUAAUACCGCAUAACAGCAAAUGUUGCAUGACAUUUGCUUAAAAGGUGCAAUUGCAUCACUACCAGAUGGACCUGCGUUGUAUUAGCUAGUUGGUGGGGUAACGGCUCACCAAGGCGACGAUACAUAGCCGACCUGAGAGGGUGAUCGGCCACACUGGGACUGAGACACGGCCCAGACUCCUACGGGAGGCAGCAGUGAGGAAUAUUGGUCAAUGGGCGAGAGCCUGAACCAGCCAAGUCGCGUGAAGGAUGACUGUCUUAUGGAUUGUAAACUUCUUUUAUACGGGAAUAACAAGGGUCACGUGUGACCCCCUGGCAUGUACCGUAUGAAUAAGCAUCGGCUAACUCCGGUGCCAGCAGCCGCGGUAAUACGGAGGAUGCGAGCGUCAUCCGGAUUUAUUGGGUUUAAAGGGUGCGUAGGCGGUUUGUUAAGUCAGCGGUGAAAUCUAGAGGCUCAACCUCAAAACUGCCGUUGAAACUGGCGAACUUGAGUGUAGAUGAGGUAGGCGGAAUUCGUGGUGUAGCGGUGAAAUGCAUAGAUAUCACGAGGAACUCCGAUUGCGAAGGCAGCUUACUAAGGUACAACUGACGCUGAAGCACGAAAGCGUGGGUAUCAAACAGGAUUAGAUACCCUUCCUANUCCACGCAGUCAAACGAUGAUAACUGGGCGUAUGCGAUAUACAGUAUGCUCCUAAGCGAAAGCGUUAAGUUAUCCACCUGGGGAGUACGCCGGCAACGGUGAAACUCAAAGGAAUUGANCGGGGGCCCGCACAAGCGGAGGAACAUGUGGUUUAAUUCGAUGAUACGCGAGGAACCUUANCCCGGGAUUGAAAUGUAGAUGACAGGCGGUGAAAGCUGCUCUCCCUUCGGGGCAUCUAUGUAGGUGCUGCAUGGUUGUCGUCAGCUCGUGCCGUGAGGUGUCGGCUUAAGUGCCAUAACGAGCGCAACACCCUGUCUACGGUUGCCAUCAGGUGAUGCUGGGAACUCCGUAGAGACUGCCGUCGUAAGGCGUGAGGAAGGNGGGGAUGGCGUCAAAAUCAGCACGGCCAAAUACAUGCCCNGGGC